CAGAUACUGUAGCACAAACAGUGACAGUUCAAGCAAAGGAACUUAGAAAGACUUUGAGAGAAAGUGACCUACCAGAGACAAUUCAAGAAAAAAAAAAACAAAAUCCCGUUAUUUGCAUGAAUGCAUGUUGUUUUUACCCUUUUGCUUUAGUUUUUGUAGUAAAACUUUACCUGUAAAUCAACCCGAGAUAAAUACCUGGGUUGCCUCAGCCAAAGACUGCAAGCUUUGAUACCAUCUGUUUGUCAGAUCAUACUGUUCCCAUUCAUACACAGCUGCAAAAUUUGAAAAAUUUAGCCAACCAAACUCAUAUUGAUAAUUUUAAAGUGAAUCAAUCUGACCAUCAAAAGUUAGAGAAGCUGGACAAUUUGUUUAAAGGUUUAAGCUUUGCACCUUGGCUAAGAGAACUCUGUAAAAUAAGCUUAAUUGUUUAAACAAGUGUUAACUGUAGUCUUAGCAGCAGUACCCGUUAUACUUCAGUGUGUGCAAAAACUAACAAGACAGUUUCUAGUUCUGCAGUUUUCAACUUUCCUCUUCUACCUCACCAGUCCCUCUUCAGAGCCCCAAAAAAAGGAUGGGUUAUCAGGAAAAAAGGGGUUUAAGCUGAGGGAAAAAGCUUCCUUUUUCACAAUUGCCUGUGUUCAAAUUGAAGAGGAAUCCACUUUCCCUGCAAUUUUAAUAGUCUCAAUUGGAGCAUUUCAAGGGUUUAAAGCUGCAUUUCAGGGCACUUCUACCCACACCCUAGCACCAAGUAUUUCCAAUGGGAGCAAGCCCAGCAGGAGGAUUGCAAUUUCCAGAAGUUCUAGGUCACAUCAAGUGCGAUAUUUCAGAUUCUCCCAGCAGAUUCAUCGUAACACAAAAGGGAACCACCCCCGCAGCAGCUUUCCUUAGCAGCGGAUGGUCCUCUCGCACAGAUUCACUUCAGGGAGAUGCAGACGGAUUGACCUCCUGGCAGAGCAUCUGUCCCAGAUGAGGAGAUCCCCCUGAGAAGGUUGGUCACGGUUUUACUUUGCAGCGGGGCUGGAACCAGUCACUGUGUUACCGCUCUGCUCUUUGUAUUUAUUUCUAGGAAGUAAAGCUGGAAAGCAGCGGGGAAGGCGAAGCAGGUGGAAGGUGAGCCUCGGUUGGUGGAGAGAAGCAGUUGUUCUUGCUGGGGUCUCAGUUUCUGGUGCAACUCCAAGCAUCCCUGCUUGUUGGUGUGUUUUAGGCUGCCUCCUGAUGCUGUGCUGAGGCCCCCUCACUGACCUGUCAAGAGACCCAGUUUGCUUCUCUGGUGAGCCCCAGCAAAUAUUACCAGAGUCCGUCACGAAGUCUCGACCUCGUCCACGUGUCGGUGCGGUCCAGGUACCCUUUAGCUGAGGAGUCCCGGUGAGUUUGGGGCAUCGGAAGGAGCAGCGAGGGCGCGCUCAACUUUUAGCAACACUACAUCGCCACCUCUCCGUUUAUCCUAGGCGUACCCUGCGACCACGGCGUCCGCCUCAGAGCGUGGCCGAAGCGUGCGGCCGGAGGACCCGGGAGUUCCUAAGAGACGGUGAGUAGGAGUUGGGUUUUGGUGAAUAUGCCACUAAGAUUGUGCACUUAUAUUUGGUUUUCUUUAUCAUAGGUGAUGAUACUUGUCUGAGACAACAGCCCGGUGAGAGAAGAAGUUCCCAGACAGCGAGGUGGCUUUGUUUGGCACCCGACCGGCCUCUCGCUGUGACUCACAUCUUCAGCCCUCCGAGAGAUAAGUGGAGCCCGCAGAGGGGAUCAAAGCAGGGCGGUGGGUUGGGACUCAGAUCGGUUUGGGUUUUUGAGUGAGCUUUGGGGAUGGGGAGGUUCUGGAAAUGAUCCCAUAGGCCCCAGUGAGGGAAAGCCUCACUUUGGUUCGCAAUGGUGAGGCGAACAGGGCAGAGCAGUCCCAGGGUGUGUUGUCACUUGUC
RNAcentral lists this long non-coding RNA (1916 nucleotides) under Cyanistes caeruleus (blue tit). RNAcentral describes it as "lncRNA (ENSCCEG00000007241.1)". The record is from RNAcentral. Lineage: Eukaryota; Metazoa; Chordata; Aves; Passeriformes; Paridae.